AGAGUUUGAUCCUGGCUCAGGACGAACGCUGGCGGCGCGCCUAACACAUGCAAGUCGAACGAGAGAGAAGGAGCUUGCUUCUUCGAUCGAGUGGCGAACGGGUGAGUAACGCGUGAGGAACCUGCCUCAAAGAGGGGGACAACAGUUGGAAACGACUGCUAAUACCGCAUAAGCGCACGGCAUCGCAUGAUGCAGUGUGAAAAACUCCGGUGGUAUAAGAUGGACCCGCGUUGGAUUAGCUAGUUGGUGAGGUAACGGCCCACCAAGGCGACGAUCCAUAGCCGACCUGAGAGGGUGACCGGCCACAUUGGGACUGAGACACGGCCCAAACUCCUACGGGAGGCAGCA
This 348-nucleotide ribosomal RNA is filed under the name uncultured bacterium. RNAcentral describes it as "bacterial SSU rRNA". It matches the Rfam family "Bacterial small subunit ribosomal RNA", at positions 8 to 353 of the family's 1533-position model. The record is from RNAcentral.